Molecule: ribosomal RNA, 253 nt
Filed under: uncultured bacterium
Lineage: Bacteria
Description: partial 16S ribosomal RNA
Rfam family: Bacterial small subunit ribosomal RNA
Source: RNAcentral
UACGUAGGGUGCGAGCGUUAAUCGGAAUUACUGGGCGUAAAGCGCACGUAGGCGGCUUUCUAAGUCAGGGGUGAAAUCCUGGAGCUCAACUCCAGAACUGCCUUUGAUACUGGAGAGCUUGAGUCCGGAAGAGGUGAGUGGAACUCCGAGUGUAGAGGUGAAAUUCGUAGAUAUUCGGAAGAACACCAGUGGCGAAGGCGGCUCACUGGUCCGGUACUGACGCUGAGGUGCGAAAGCGUGGGGAGCAAACAGG